CGCAUCCGCUAGGGGUGUUGCCGCGGUGCCAACCGCGUCGACUGAGAAAGUCCCUUUGAACCUGAUUGAGGUAAUGCUCACGCAGGGAAGCAGGCCAGAGACCAG
This 105-nucleotide non-coding RNA is filed under the name Curvibacter sp. PAE-UM. RNAcentral's name for it is "TPP riboswitch aptamer (THI element)". It matches the Rfam family "TPP riboswitch aptamer (THI element)". From Rfam's summary of the family: Vitamin B(1) in its active form thiamin pyrophosphate (TPP) is an essential coenzyme that is synthesised by coupling of pyrimidine and thiazole moieties in bacteria. The previously detected thiamin-regulatory element, thi box was extended, resulting in a new, highly conserved RNA secondary structure, the THI element, which is widely distributed in eubacteria and also occurs in some archaea. Lineage: Bacteria; Pseudomonadati; Pseudomonadota; Betaproteobacteria; Burkholderiales; Comamonadaceae. The record is from Rfam by way of RNAcentral. RNAcentral also lists the same sequence under 1 other name.